AACGAACGCUGGCGGUAUGCUUUACACAUGCAAGUCGAACGAACUGUUGGUAGCUUGCUAUCAACAGUUAGUGGCAAACGGGUGAGUAACGCGUGGGAAUCUGCCCUAUAGUACGGAAUAGCCGUUGGAACGACGAUUAAUACCGUAUAUCUUCCCACGGAAGAAGAACUUGUUCGCUAUAGGAUGAGCCCACCGUUAGAUUAGUUUGUUUGGUAGGGUAAGUGGCCGUACCAAGACUACGAUCUAUAGCUGGUUUGUAGAGGAUGAUCAGCCACACUGGAACUGAGAUACGGUCCAGACUUCUACGGAAGGCAGCAGUGAGGAAUAUUGGACAAUGGGCGAAAGACCUGAUCCAGCAAUACCGCGUGAGUGAUGAA
Molecule: ribosomal RNA, 377 nt
Filed under: uncultured bacterium
Lineage: Bacteria
Description: bacterial SSU rRNA
Rfam family: Bacterial small subunit ribosomal RNA
Source: RNAcentral